Molecule: unclassified non-coding RNA, 255 nt
Filed under: Hevea brasiliensis (rubber tree)
Lineage: Eukaryota; Viridiplantae; Streptophyta; Magnoliopsida; Malpighiales; Euphorbiaceae
Source: RNAcentral
AAAUGAAGCCAACUCCACCCAUACCUGAAGUACCAUCUGUGAAGCGUGCCCGGUCUUCAUCUCGACCUACCACAUUGAAGAGGAAGGGGCUAAUGGAUGAUUCAAUGGUUUUGCAUGGCGAUACUAUACGCCAACAGUUGACUAACACUGAGGACAUACGUCGCAUGCGUAAAAAGGCGCCCUGUACACGCACAGAAAUUUUGAUGAUUCAGAGGCAAUUCUGGGAAGAGGAACUCUUUAGUGAACCAGUAUUAA